RNAcentral lists this long non-coding RNA (450 nucleotides) under Cavia porcellus (domestic guinea pig). RNAcentral's name for it is "lncRNA (ENSCPOG00000031119.1)". Lineage: Eukaryota; Metazoa; Chordata; Mammalia; Rodentia; Caviidae. The record is from RNAcentral.
AACCUUGUCUAUUUUCAUCUUUCUUGCCAGUUUGAAAAUCUUGUUGCAUGAUUUUGGCUGCAGAAAUAGACUAAAGUAAAUAGAGAAAACUGCUUCAUGGAACAGCCUUAGAAAAUGUGCUUAAAAUAUAGAUAGGUUUUAUGUAGGUCGGGGAAUUUCCAUUUUAAAUAUACUCAAAGGACCAAAAAGUAAAUUACACGGAAGGCACACACCAGGUACUUGGAAAGUAUGCUGUCUACACACAGGUUUAUGAAACACGUAUCAGAGGACUUCUCCAGGGGCAGAGUUGAAACUUUGCUUAAGGUGUUGGGACGAAAAGUGCUGCUAACUUGUUUUAAUGAUUGGUGCAACUCGAUGGAAAGAAGAAAAAAUACUCCAGAUGAUACAAAUUUUUCAGAACUGUGCUGGUUCGCGUGCUACCGCUGGCCACGUCACCAUGGAGCACUUUGA